RNAcentral lists this ribosomal RNA (468 nucleotides) under uncultured bacterium. RNAcentral describes it as "partial 16S ribosomal RNA". It matches the Rfam family "Bacterial small subunit ribosomal RNA", at positions 28 to 507 of the family's 1533-position model. The record is from RNAcentral.
GACGAACGCUGGCGGCGUGCUUAACACAUGCAAGUCGAACGGAAAGGCCCUGCUUUUGUGGGGUGCUCGAGUGGCGAACGGGUGAGUAACACGUGAGUAACCUGCCCUUGACUUUGGGAUAACUUCAGGAAACUGGGGCUAAUACCGGAUAGGAGCUCCUGCUGCAUGGUGGGGGUUGGAAAGUUUCGGCGGUUGGGGAUGGACUCGCGGCUUAUCAGCUUGUUGGUGGGGUAGUGGCUUACCAAGGCUUUGACGGGUAGCCGGCCUGAGAGGGUGACCGGCGACAUUGGGACUGAGAUACGGACCAGACUCCUACGGGAGGCAGCAGUGGGGAAUAUUGUACAAUGGGCGCAAGCCUGAUACAGAAACGCCGCGUGCGGGAUGACGGCCUUCGGGGUGUGAACCGCUUUCGCCUGUGACGAAGCGUGAGUGACGGUACUGAGUAAAGAAGCACCGGCUAACUACGUG